GCCAGCCUGGAGCAAAAGAAGCUCAGGGACAGCACCCAGGCCCUGGGUUCAAGCCCCAGGACUGGCA
RNAcentral lists this transfer RNA (67 nucleotides) under Dipodomys ordii (Ord's kangaroo rat). Lineage: Eukaryota; Metazoa; Chordata; Mammalia; Rodentia; Heteromyidae. The record is from Rfam by way of RNAcentral.